This 490-nucleotide ribosomal RNA is filed under the name uncultured bacterium. RNAcentral describes it as "partial 16S ribosomal RNA". It matches the Rfam family "Bacterial small subunit ribosomal RNA", at positions 30 to 507 of the family's 1533-position model. The record is from RNAcentral.
AUUGAACGCUGGCGGCAGGCCUAACACAUGCAAGUCGAACGGUAACAGGAAGCAGCUUGCUGCUUUGCUGACGAGUGGCGGACGGGUGAGUAAUGUCUGGGAAACUGCCCGAUGGAGGGGGAUAACUACUGGAAACGGUAGCUAAUACCGCAUAACGUCGCAAGACCAAAGAGGGGGACCUUAGGGCCUCUUGCCAUCGGAUGUGCCCAGAUGGGAUUAGCUAGUAGGUGGGGUAACGGCUCACCUAGGCGACGAUCCCUAGCUGGUCUGAGAGGAUGACCAGCCACACUGGAACUGAGACACGGUCCAGACUCCUACGGGAGGCAGCAGUGGGGAAUAUUGCACAAAGGGCGCAAGCCUGAUGCAGCCAUGCCGCGUGUAUGAAGAAGGCCUUCGGGUUGUAAAGUACUUUCAGCGGGGAGGAAGGGAGUAAAGUUAAUACCUUUGCUCAUUGACGUUACCCGCAGAAGAAGCACCGGCUAACUCCGCG